Molecule: ribosomal RNA, 468 nt
Filed under: uncultured bacterium
Lineage: Bacteria
Description: partial 16S ribosomal RNA
Rfam family: Bacterial small subunit ribosomal RNA
Source: RNAcentral
GACGAACGCUGGCGGCGUGCUUAACACAUGCAAGUCGAACGGUAAGGCCCUGCUUUUGUGGGAUGCUCGAGUGGCGAACGGGUGAGUAACACGUGAGUAACCUGCCCUUGACUUUGGGAUAACUUCAGGAAACUGGGGCUAAUACCGGAUAGGAGCUCCUGCUGCAUGGUGGGGGUUGGAAAGUUUCGGCGGUUGGUGAUUGACUCGCGGCUUAUCAGCUUGUUGGUGGGGUAGUGGCUUACCAAGGCUUUGACGGGUAGCCGGCCUGAGAGGGUGACCGGCCACAUUGGGACUGAGAUACGGCCCAGACUCCUACGGGAGGCAGCAGUGGGGAAUAGUGCACAAUGGGCGGAAGCCGGAUGCAGCAACGCCGCGUGCGGGAUGACGGCCUUCGGGUUGUAACCCGCUUUCGCCUGUGACGAAGCGUGAGUGACGGUAAUGGGUAAAGAAGCACCGGCUAACUACGUG